This 467-nucleotide ribosomal RNA is filed under the name uncultured bacterium. RNAcentral describes it as "bacterial SSU rRNA". It matches the Rfam family "Bacterial small subunit ribosomal RNA", at positions 28 to 507 of the family's 1533-position model. The record is from RNAcentral.
GACGAACGCUGGCGGCGUGCUUAACACAUGCAAGUCGAACGAUGAAGCCCAGCUUGCUGGGUGGAAGAGUGGCGAACGGGUGAGUAACACGUGAGUAACCUGCCCAUCACUCUGGGAUAAGCGCUGGAAACGGCGUCUAAUACUGGAUAUGAACAGCGGCCGCAUGGUCAGUUGUUGGAAAGAUUUAUUGGUGAUGGAUGGACUCGCGGCCUAUCAGCUAGUUGGUGAGGUAAUGGCUCACCAAGGCGACGACGGGUAGCCGGCCUGAGAGGGCGACCGGCCACACUGGGACUGAGAUACGGCCCAGACUCCUACGGGAGGCAGCAGUGGGGAAUAUUGCACAAUGGGCGCAAGCCUGAUGCAGCGACGCCGCGUGAGGGAUGACGGCCUUCGGGUUGUAAACCUCUUUCAAUAGGGACGAAGCGCAAGUGACGGUACCUAUAGAAGAAGCACCGGCCAACUACGUG